UCUGGUAUGGUGCGCCUGGCCCACGCGUUGCCCAACCGCGAUUGUUGGUGUGCACCUGGCAUCUUUCUAGCUUACUGCACGCACUUAACUGGGCGGUCAGCGAUCUAGAUCUUUUACUUUGAAAAAAUCAGAGUGUUUAAAGCAUGCUUGCGCUAUGAAUACAUUAGCAUGGAAUAGUAAUUUAGGACUUUAUUCCUAUGUAUUGGUUUCUGGAAUAAAGUAAUGAUUGAUACGGAUAGGUGGGGGUGCCACUAUUCAUCGGCCAGAGGUGAAAUUCUUGGAUUCGAUGAAGACUAACUAAUGCGAAAGCAUUCACCAAGGAUGUAUUCUUUCAUCAAGCACGAAAGUUGGGGGAUCGAAGACGAUCAGAUACCGUCGUAGUCUCUACCAUCCACUAUACCGACUAGGGAUUAGUGGAAGUUGCUUUUUCGACUCCAUUAGCACCCGAUGAGAAAUCGAAGUCUUUGGGUUCUGGGGGGAGUAUGGUCGCAAAGCUGACACUUAGACGACUCGACGGAUGGGCACCACCCAGCUAGUGGAGCCCGCGGCCUUAAUUUGACUCUACACGGGGAAACUUACCAGGUCCGGACAUAGUGAGGAUUGACAGAUUGAAGUUCUUUCUUGAUUAUAUGGGUGGUGGUGCAUGCCCGCUCUUAGUUGGUGGAGCGAUCUGUCUGGUUAAUUCCGUUAACGAACGAGACCUCGACCUGCUGUAUAGUACAACGUCACCCUUGGUUAUGUGUCACUUCAUAGUAGGACUGUCGGUUCCUAACCGAUUAAAGUUUGAGGCGCAUAC
Molecule: ribosomal RNA, 796 nt
Filed under: uncultured eukaryote
Lineage: Eukaryota
Description: bacterial SSU rRNA
Rfam family: Eukaryotic small subunit ribosomal RNA
Source: RNAcentral